This 2118-nucleotide long non-coding RNA is filed under the name Manihot esculenta (cassava). RNAcentral's name for it is "long non-coding RNA (MESC_LNC003121)". The record is from RNAcentral. Lineage: Eukaryota; Viridiplantae; Streptophyta; Magnoliopsida; Malpighiales; Euphorbiaceae.
GAUCAAGUUGUCUUUAACUUUUGUAUGUUUAUUUGAUUUAACUUUGUAGAAAUGUAGCCUUUCAGCAUUAAACUAUACAAAAUAAUUCUUCAACCAAAUAUAUUCUACUAUCAGCAAGUUAGGCAGAAUCUCCAAUUCAGGACCUUGUCUGAUGGUAUCUCUAUAUUUUAUGGUAGUGAAUUUGGAGGCUGCUGCCUUCCAAUAAGUGUUAGAACUAAAUGCAGAUAUCUAAAUUUAUGCCCUCAAGUAAUUUUUGUCAGUCGGCAGCAUAACUGAGAACGUAGAGCAGAUGAUUGCUUGUUCGAAGCAGAGCAGGAGUUUUUUAAGCACAUACGAAUUCAUGUGCAUCAUCAUUCCUUAUUGAACUCCCUUAAAAUCUCUUCAAAGAGUUUCUUCAUGAAACCCACAAGAUCUUCGGUCCUUCAGGGAGAGGUAUUGUCCUUGGAAGGUGCUUUCUUUUUUUUUUUUUUUCUGGCCUUCCCAAAAACAAUAAACUUGUAGGACGGGUUCAGGUUCAUCAAAGGCCGAGUCAGAUGAUUCAUUGUCUAGUAGAAGCAUCAGUGCUAUUUGUCCCUUCUCCAACUUAUCAUCGCCUCCUAAUCACAGCACUAGAGGCACCGUCGGAGUACUCGUUUGGACUACUUCCUUCACUGGAAAGGGAUUCCAUGGCACCAGCCACAUCUUCAUACCCAGAAGAGUAUUUGACUUGAAAAAUAGCUCCACUGGCCCAAUUACUGAAUGGUUCGCCACUCCCCUUCGACUUCAAGCUCUCACUGAAACAUUUGAGAAGCAGCUGGCACUGUCCAUGGAGUCUCAUGUUUCUUCCUAUACCACAAAUUGUCAAAAAGUAAGAAUGGGAAACCAAAAAGGGCUAGUGUCACUUGCUGCUGGCACUGUCUAUCAUCUCAUUGACAAAAAUCAAAUAGGAUGCUUUUCCAAGUGAGGAUGCCAAAAUACCUUUAUAUGCAAGGUUCAAGAGGCAAAAAUAGGCCAAAUUUAAAGCCUAAAAGAAAGAAAUAAAGUCCAAUCCAUAUAAAAAACAAAAAAGCAACAAGACGAUGUCGUGUAGUUUAAAAAAUUAAAAAGAAAUCAUUUAUUUAAUUGGAUAAAUUAUAUUUUAGUCUCUAAAUUAUAUUAUAAUUAAUGAAUUAAUUUUUAUAUUUUUAAAAUGGAAUAUUUAAACUCCUUUAUUUUCAAUGAAUAACUUAAAAUAGGAUAAAGUAAUAAAUAAAUGAAAAGAGGUCUUAGAGGGAAUUUCAAAAUAGAAACUAGCCUUAUCAGAUAGUUGCAAAUGUCAAAUCAAUUGCACACAAGCUCCAAUUGACACUAGAAGCUAGUAUACAUAUUGUUUUCUGUGUGUCCUUGCUGAAAAAAAAAAUCUAGGGAACAAGUUGUGGUCUUCUAGGACUUGCUUUCUUUUGAAGAAGAAUAUGGUUAUUCAACUAGAAUCAGUCCUAAAACCAUGAUGAUAAUGAGAUGGGGAAUACUUCAUGGCCGAAUCAAAUGGAGCAGCCCACCAAUGGAAGAUGCCACAUGGAAAGACCACAAUUUCAUAAGCAAUAAAUUCCCUACUUUCAGUCUUCUUACAGACAAAAAAGAUUCUGUUGGAGACUAUUGUCACAUAUUUUAGAAGAAAGAAAUAGUUAAGUGACAAUUAUGAUUUGUUUUUAUAGGGAAUUGAUAAUUGACUAAACUUAGUUUAUUUCUCUCACCUGUAUCUCUUCGUCUGUUCUCAUUCCCAAAUCUGUAUUCUCAUCCUCAAUCUUACAGAAAGUUUGGUUAAGGAGUUUAGCCUAUUGCCUAACAUGAGGUGUUAGGACCACCACUUCUCCUUUUUCCCGAUGUUGAUGUUGAGCAACCUUGGCCUGAUGGCAAUGGAGGUUCAGUUUAUGUGGGUUGUCUUUAGAGUAUGUGUUUGGUGUUUGUCAAGCCUCAUAGCCGGCAGCCUUCUAUUUCUAUUAUCCACAAGGUUGGCUUUAUUCUAAAUUUAGGUGGUGGUCACAAUGCUUUAAAGACCAGUGGACUCUUCGUCGAAAAGCAAUAAGGUUAGGCCUACUUAAGUUUUUAUAUUCAUAUUCUUUAUUUUAUUUUCUAGCCUUAGGCUUUGCAAUUUAAAAA